GACAGAGGGGGCAAGCGUUGCUCGGAAUUACUGGGCGUAAAGGGCGCGUAGGCGGAAUGGCAAGUCGGUCGUGAAAUCCUUCGGCUCAACCGAAGAACGUCGAUCGAAACUGCCGUUCUUGAGGAUUGCAGAGGAGACUGGAAUUCCCGGUGUAGCGGUGAAAUGUGUAGAGAUCGGGAGGAACACCGGUGGCGAAGGCGGGUCUCUGGGCCGAUACUGACGCUGAGGAGCGAAAGCGUGGGGAGCGAACAGG
Molecule: ribosomal RNA, 253 nt
Filed under: uncultured bacterium
Lineage: Bacteria
Description: partial 16S ribosomal RNA
Rfam family: Bacterial small subunit ribosomal RNA
Source: RNAcentral